CGACUUUCUUUGUUUAAAAAAGAAUGAUAGUAAUGUGAUUUGUAAGUCUCCCUUUCAGAGUGGGUGUCCACUUGCUUUUGAGAGCCACCUCGCCCACGGCUUUUCUGGCAUCAGAGGCCUGGCUGCACGCUGCACAUAAUGGUUCUUGCACGGCACCAAGAGGCUGCAGAGCUGUGAAAACUCACCUUCAGUGUAGACUCCUCACCCUGCCCCCCGCCGUUGUUCUGAUCACUCUAGUUUAUGGCAUGUGUGGGAAGUAGGAGAGUGGGAAGGCAUCAUAUUUCAGUAUUAUUGGUCUUGUUCCUUUUGUGUUCUAUCCAUUUCACAUUCUGUAUCCCAGUGUAUCUCUUAGAGGAAUAAAGGACUUUUGUUGAAGCUCUGA
This is a non-coding RNA of Sus scrofa (pig), 382 nucleotides long. NCBI's taxonomy places the organism in Eukaryota, Metazoa, Chordata, Mammalia, Artiodactyla, Suidae. The record is from RefSeq and is a predicted model, not a curated record.